GAUGAACGCUGGCGGCGUGCCUAAUACAUGCAAGUCGAGCGAACGGACGAGAAGCUUGCUUUUCUGAUGUUAGCGGCGGACGGGUGAGUAACACUUGGAUAACCUACCUAUAAGACUGGGAUAACUUCGGGAAACCGGAGCUAAUACCGGAUAAUAUUUUGAACCGCAUGGUUCAAAAGUGAAAGACGGUCUUGCUGUCACUUAUAGAUGGAUCCGCGCUGCAUUAGCUAGUUGGUAAGGUAACGGCUUACCAAGGCAACGAUGCAUAGCCGACCUGAGAGGGUGAUCGGCCACACUGGAACUGAGACACGGUCCAGACUCCUACGGGAGGCAGCAGUAGGGAAUCUUCCGCAAUGGGCGAAAGCCUGACGGAGCAACGCCGCGUGAGUGAUGAAGGUCUUCGGAUCGUAAAACUCUGUUAUUAGGGAAGAACAUAUGUGUAAGUAACUGUGCACAUCUUGACGGUACCUAAUCAGAAAGCCACGGCUAACUACGUG
Molecule: ribosomal RNA, 497 nt
Filed under: uncultured bacterium
Lineage: Bacteria
Description: partial 16S ribosomal RNA
Rfam family: Bacterial small subunit ribosomal RNA
Source: RNAcentral